RNAcentral lists this ribosomal RNA (477 nucleotides) under Trachylepis hoeschi (Hoesch's mabuya). RNAcentral's name for it is "partial 12S ribosomal RNA". The stretch from base 1 to 425 matches the Rfam family "Bacterial small subunit ribosomal RNA", at positions 913 to 1533 of the family's 1533-position model. Lineage: Eukaryota; Metazoa; Chordata; Lepidosauria; Squamata; Scincidae. The record is from RNAcentral.
GCGGUGCUCCAUACCGUCCUAGAGGAGCCUGUCCUAUAAUCGAUAAUCCACGUUAUACCUCACCACCCCUUGCAACUCAGCCUAUAUACCGCCGUCGUCAGCCUACCUUGUGAAAGAAUAAAAGUAGGCAAAAUAGUUAACAACUAAAACGUCAGGUCAAGGUGUAGCCUAUGGGGUGGAAGAGAUGGGCUACACUUUCUAUUACAGAACACACGAAUAGCACAAUGAAACUUGUGCUUGAAGGCGGAUUUAGUAGUAAGAUAAAAAAGAGAGCUUAUCUGAACCCCGCUCUGGAGCGCGCACACACCGCCCGUCACCCUCAUCACACAAACCUCUUAUACUAAAAUAUAAAGCCACUAUAAAACAGAUGAGGAAAGUCGUAACAUGGUAAGCGCACCGGAAGGCGCGCUUGGAAUAACAAACAGUAGCUUAAUAUAAAGCAUUCAGCUUACAAUUGAAACAUGUUAGUGAAACUCU